ACACAAAAAAAAAAACGUAGUCAGAAUCUCACUUCAUUUUGAAACAAGUCAAUGAAACAAAGUUAUAGCAAUACACUAACCAAAACAUGAUUAAGAGUUAUUCAACACAAAAUAAAACGUUGACAGAAUCCCACUUUAUUUAGAAAGGAUUAUUAUUUUUUUUAACAAAACACUAUCGAAAACAUAAUUAAGAUUUAUUCAACACAAAAAAAAAUCUGUCUCACUUUAUUUUGAGACAAUGACAACAGUUAUAGUAUAAGAAUACACUUGCUUACAAAGUUAUUAAGCACAAAACCAAUUAAGAUUGGGCGCGAACAUGUAGGGUGCGAACGGACUUUGGGUGCGAACAUGUAGGAUGCGAAAGUGAAAGGG
This 372-nucleotide long non-coding RNA is filed under the name Mytilus galloprovincialis (Mediterranean mussel). The record is from RNAcentral. Lineage: Eukaryota; Metazoa; Mollusca; Bivalvia; Mytilida; Mytilidae.